This 476-nucleotide ribosomal RNA is filed under the name uncultured bacterium. RNAcentral's name for it is "partial 16S ribosomal RNA". It matches the Rfam family "Bacterial small subunit ribosomal RNA", at positions 30 to 523 of the family's 1533-position model. The record is from RNAcentral.
AUUGAACGCUGGCGGCGUGCUUAACACAUGCAAGUCGAGCGAGUGAGUUCUUCGGAACGAUCUAGCGGCGGACGGGUGAGUAACACGUGGGCAACCCGCAUCAUAGAGGGGAAUAGCCUCCCGAAAGGGAGAUUAAUACCGCAUGACAUCGUUGAAGGGCAUCCUUCGAUGAUCAAAGGAGCAAUCCGUUAUGAGAUGGGCCCGCGGCGCAUUAGCUAGUUGGUGAGGUAACGGCUCACCAAGGCGACGAUGCGUAGCCGACCUGAGAGGGUGAUCGGCCACAUUGGGACUGAGACACGGCCCAGACUCCUACGGGAGGCAACAGUGGGGAAUAUUGCACAAUGGGGGAAACCCUGAUGCAGCAACGCCGCGUGAGUGAUGACGGCCUUCGGGUUGUAAAGCUCUGUCUUUGGGGACGAUAAUGACGGUACCCAAGGAGGAAGUCACGGCUAACUACGUGCCAGCAGCCGCAGUAA